CAGAGAAACCCACAUUUGGUGGUGAAUGGAGUUAGCAGAUUUGAUAUCAUGCAAGGAGAAAUAGGUGACUGCUGGAUGCUGGCUGCCCUGGGCUCCCUGACACUGCAGAAGCAAUUUUUGGAAAACGUUUUACCAAAGGACCAAGGAUUCCAGGACAAUUAUGCUGGCAUUUUUCAUUUCAGGUUCUGGCAGUAUGGAGAGUGGGUGGAUGUGGUGAUAGACGACCAGCUGCCGAUCCUGAACGGAGCGUACCUGUCUGUGCACCCCCGAACGUCAAACGAAUUCUGGCCAUCCCUGCUGGAAAAAGCAUAUGCCAAGUUGAGGGGCUCCUACCAGAGCUUGCAUGGAGGCUACCUUUCUGAUGCGUUAGUAGACUUCACAGGUGGAGUCCAAGUGCAAUUUUCUUUGAAGGAUCCCCCUCCUGAUCUGGAGGAGAUACUGAAAGCAGCUGACAGAUCUCAGUGCCUGAUGGGGUGUAGCACAUCAGCCCAGCUGAAGAGAAACAUAGAGCUGAGAAAUGGGAUUGUACAGGGUCAUGCCUACACUGUCACAGGAGCUGUGAAGAUACCCUACAAGAAUGGCUGGAAACAUAUCAUCAGGAUCUGGAAUCCGUGGGGCCACGGGGAGUGGAAGGGGCCCUGGAGUGAUAACUCUCCUCAGUGGGACCACGUUGAGCCUCAAUGCAGAGAAGCCCUCCUCAGAAAUAAGGAUGAUGGAGAAUUCUGGAUGUCCUGUGAGAACUUCCAGGAGCAGUUUUCCUGGCUGUAUAUCUGCAACAGCACACCAACGUUUUUGGACUUUGGAGACCAGCAGUACACGACGUGGUCCACGGACAGGCACAUCAAUCUGUGGAGUCCAGCCCUUCCCACAGGCAGGAGCAACUCCUCCUCAGGGGAAGCUCCAAGAAACCCUCUGUAUAUUUUCCAAGUGCCAGAUCAUGACCCCAAACCCUAUAAUGUGCUCAUUUCACUCAUGCAAAAGCAUGCUGAGGAUACGAGGGAUGCAAAAAACCUGAAGAUUGGCUUUUUCAUCACCAAGGAUAACUCCAGAGUCCUGAAGCAGACUUUUUCCCUGGCUCGAGAUGUGACCUGCUACUUCACCUUGAGGCCAGGCACCUAUGCUGUGGUUCCUGCCAGCACAGAGGACCAAGGGUUUGAGUUCCUCUUGCGGAUUUUCCUGAAGCGUGACUACAGCGAGAGCUCAAACUCUCUUCCAAGCCCAGUGCCACCAAUGGAUGUACCGAGACAGAACGAGGACAGCUCCUAUAAGGCUGUCUUCUUAAGAUAUGCUAAGCAGGGCUCAGAUAUGGAUGCCUUGCAGCUGCAACAACUGCUUAAUGAAGUGAUCCUGCGAGAUGAAAUGACCAGCCUGGGAGGAAGAUUCAGCUUCGAUUCAUGCAGAGGCAUUUUAGCUCUGAUGGAUCUCCACUCGAACGGACGACUGACGCUGCAAGAGUUCAGGAGCCUCUGGCAAAUCCUCGCUGAGUACACGGAUAUUUUCAGCAAGGCAGACAGAAACCGUUCUGGAUUUCUUGAUGUGUCUGAACUGAAGAGUGCAAUACAGAUGGCAGGUCUGGCCGUCAGCGAGCAGCUGCUGCGCCUGCUGGUCCUGCGCUAUGGCGACACCGCCGGCAGAGUUGGCUUCUCCGACUUCGUCUGCUGCCUGCUGCGCCUCAAAACCAUGACCCGUGCAUUUCAAAACUUAGCAGAGGGUGGGUCACAAAUUUCAGUGACAUCAGCAGAGUGGCUGACUCUUGUCAUGUACACCUAAAGAGAUGUCAGAGCUCAAGGUGGCUGGACUGACCUGUUUGGUGUGGCUGCUGCACAUUUGCUGGGGCUAAGAAGCCCCAAGCCCCUCAGCCUUUCUUUGCCAGAGAGACGCUCCAGUCCCCUCAGCAUCGGAAGCGCUUCCCGCAGUUUCAGGCGUGAGCUGCAGAUGGCAGACUUGACCUGCGGACUGGUCUCCAGACCACCACUCACUGUCUCUCCCAGCCAGCUCGCCACUUUCAACCAGGAGACCAAAGUACAUGCAGCAUCUUGUAGGUGAGACAUGCUACCACAGCUUGCUCUGGGGAUGUUAAACUCUUGCAAAAUAGGUUCUUCUGCACAAACAAAGGCACCUGGCUGACACUGGCAGCACCUGAGUUGCCCUUCCGGUGCUGCACCUACCUUCUUCCACCCACAGAAGAAAGAAAUUGGACAGAGAAAAGCACCAAAGGCAAUAAAAGCUUUCUGGGCAGCUUCUGACUGAGGAACUGUUAAAUAGACGAAGAUAUCUUAGCCUGGCAAAGAGGUGACUACACCGACGUGGACUGGAGGUGCUCUGUUACAUGAGCCAGGAGCAGCAAAGAAAUCAUCUGCUGGUUUGUGCAAGCUUUACACAGCCUGGAGAUGGUAGGGCUCACCUCUGUGGGACACUGGGGCUGCCAAACCCUGGUGGUGUUCAAAAGCAGUAGGAAAGGAAUCAGCUGAGGGGUACCAUGCUCAAAGGCAUCUCCUUCAGUGCAUGAUGAAUCUGGUCCCUGACAUUAUACCCUUCCCAGGGUGCCUGCUGUGGGAGAAAGGAGACUGCGCCAGUAGCCCUUUUAGCUGGCCUGAUCCAUCACUUUCUGUGGCCUUGGCCUGGUGAUCCAAGUGAAGGAAUGCCAUGAGAUGCUCAGCUUUCAAUUCCAAACAUCCUUUUUCCAGGAGAAAAGCCUGCGAGUCGGCGGCACUG
This is an RNA transcript of Pogoniulus pusillus (Red-fronted tinkerbird), 2715 nucleotides long. It is a transcript of the gene named calpain 13, with no coding region annotated. Lineage: Eukaryota; Metazoa; Chordata; Aves; Piciformes; Lybiidae. The record is from RefSeq and is a predicted model, not a curated record. The transcript is spliced from 21 exons.